This 501-nucleotide ribosomal RNA is filed under the name uncultured bacterium. RNAcentral describes it as "partial 16S ribosomal RNA". It matches the Rfam family "Bacterial small subunit ribosomal RNA", at positions 29 to 523 of the family's 1533-position model. The record is from RNAcentral.
AAUGAACGCUGGCGGCGUGCCUAACACAUGCAAGUCGGAUGUGCCGCAAGGUGCAUGGCAGACGGGUGAGUAACGCGUGGGGAAUCUACCUUUUAGUGGGGAAUAACGAUCCGAAAGGAUUGGUAAUACCGCAUGAGAUCCAUGGCUGGGAUGCUGUGGAUGAAACCCGGGGACCGCAAGGCCUGGGGCUAGAAGAGGAUCCUGCGUCUGAUUAGCUAGUUGGUGGGGUAACGGCCUACCAAGGCGACGAUCAGUAGCCGGCCUGAGAGGGUGAUCGGCCACACUGGAACUGAGACACGGUCCAGACUCCUACGGGAGGCAGCAGUGGGGAAUUUUGCGCAAUGGACGAAAGUCUGACGCAGCAACGCCGCGUGGGUGAUGAAGGUCUUCGGACUGUAAAACCCUGUCGUCAGGGACGAAGGUAGUCCGGUUAAUAACCGGAUUGCUUGACGGUACCUGGAGAGGAAGCCCCGGCUAACUCUGUGCCAGCCGCCGCCGUAA